This 797-nucleotide non-coding RNA is filed under the name Xenopsylla cheopis (oriental rat flea). The record is from RNAcentral. Lineage: Eukaryota; Metazoa; Arthropoda; Insecta; Siphonaptera; Pulicidae.
AAAAAGUUUUAUUUUAGCUUAAAAAUAUAUUAAAAUUUUAUUUUACAUGUAAAUUUUUGUGAAUAGUUAAAAUUAUAAUUUUAUAUUUUAAAAAUAAUUAUAGAUUUCAGUAAUAAAGAUUAAAAGUUAUAUAAAUAUAUAUUUAGUAAUAAUUAUUAAUUAUUAACAAAAAUUGUGCCAGCAGUUGCGGUUAUACAAUUAAUAUAAAUAUAUUUUAUAAGUAAUUAGUUUGAUUAUAAUUAAAUGUUUAAUAUAAAUUGAUUUAUUUAAGGUUAAAUUUUAUUGAUUAAUAAAAUUAACAUAAAAUUAUUUUAGGCUAAUAAAAUUAAAAUAUAAACUAGGAUUAGAUACCCUAUUAUUUUAAUUAUAAAAUAAAUACUGUAGUAGUAUUAGUUAUAUUCUUGAAACUAAAAAAAUUUGGCGGUAUUUUAAUCUUAUUAGAGGAACUUGUUCUGUAAUCGAUAUUCCUCGUUUAAUUUUACUAAGUUAAUUUAUUUGUAUAUCGUUGUUGGAAGAAUAUUAUAAGAAUAAAAUAAUUUUCUAAAAUUUAAAUUUAAAUUAAUAUCAAAUCAAGGUGCAGUUAAUGAUUUAGAAGAAAUGAGUUACAAUAAAAUUAUUUAUAUGAAUUUAAUUUUGAAUAAAUUUAAUGAAGGUGGAUUUAAUAGUAAAUUAAUUUUAAUAAAAUUAAUUGAUUUUAGUUCUAAAAUAUGUACAUAUUGCCCGUCGCUCUUUUUAAUUUAUUAAAAAAAGAUAAGUCGUAACAUAGUAGAUGUACUGGAAAGUGUAUCUAGAAAGAC